UACAGAGGUCUCAAGCGUUGUUCGGAAUUACUGGGCGUAAAGGGCUCGUAGGCGGCCAACUAAGUCGGAUGUGAAAUCCCCAGGCUCAACUUGGGAACUGCAUCCGAUACUGGAUGGCUUGAAUUCGGGAGAGGGAUGCAGAAUUCCAGGUGUAGCGGUGAAAUGCGUAGAUAUCUGGAGGAAUACCGGUGGCGAAGGCGGCAUCCUGGACCGACAUUGACGCUGAGGAGCGAAAGCUAGGGGAGCAAACGGG
This 253-nucleotide ribosomal RNA is filed under the name uncultured bacterium. Its description in RNAcentral is "partial 16S ribosomal RNA". It matches the Rfam family "Bacterial small subunit ribosomal RNA", at positions 524 to 776 of the family's 1533-position model. The record is from RNAcentral.